RNAcentral lists this ribosomal RNA (796 nucleotides) under Citricoccus parietis. RNAcentral describes it as "bacterial SSU rRNA". It matches the Rfam family "Bacterial small subunit ribosomal RNA", at positions 65 to 864 of the family's 1533-position model. Lineage: Bacteria; Bacillati; Actinomycetota; Actinomycetes; Micrococcales; Micrococcaceae. The record is from RNAcentral.
GACGCUGAGCUUGGAGCUUGCUCCGGGUGGAUGAGUGGCGAACGGGUGAGUAACACGUGAGUAACCUGCCCCUGACUCUGGGAUAAGCCUGGGAAACUGGGUCUAAUACUGGAUAUGACUACUGGCCGCAUGGUCUGGUGGUGGAAAGAUUUAUCGGUUGGGGAUGGACUCGCGGCCUAUCAGCUUGUUGGUGAGGUAGUGGCUCACCAAGGCGACGACGGGUAGCCGGCCUGAGAGGGUGACCGGCCACACUGGGACUGAGACACGGCCCAGACUCCUACGGGAGGCAGCAGUGGGGAAUAUUGCACAAUGGGCGCAAGCCUGAUGCAGCGACGCCGCGUGAGGGAUGACGGCCUUCGGGUUGUAAACCUCUUUCAGUUGGGAAGAAGCCUUUCGGGGUGACGGUACCUUCAGAAGAAGCGCCGGCUAACUACGUGCCAGCAGCCGCGGUAAUACGUAGGGCGCGAGCGUUAUCCGGAAUUAUUGGGCGUAAAGAGCUCGUAGGCGGUUUGUCGCGUCUGCCGUGAAAGUCCGGGGCUUAACUCCGGAUCUGCGGUGGGUACGGGCAGACUAGAGUGCAGUAGGGGAGACUGGAACUCCUGGUGUAGCGGUGAAAUGCGCAGAUAUCAGGAAGAACACCGAUGGCGAAGGCAGGUCUCUGGGCUGUAACUGACGCUGAGGAGCGAAAGCAUGGGGAGCGAACAGGAUUAGAUACCCUGGUAGUCCAUGCCGUAAACGUUGGGCACUAGGUGUGGGGGACAUUCCACGUUUUCCGCGCCGUAGCUAACGCAUUAAG